GACUAUUUUCUUAUUCAAAAAAAAAUCAGGAACUCUUGCACCCUGAUCCUGUCUUCAAAUCAUUAAUGAAAAUAGGCCCAAUAGAUACACUGAAGUUGCAUUUGUCUUAUUUUUCCCCUUUUAAACACACACACACACACACACACUUCAGUUUGGUCAGUAAAAACCUUAGGGCCAGAUUUGGGGCAAGUGUGUAAAACUUUAUAGCACACAUUCAUUUCAUUCUGGUAUUUAUAUCUUUUCUUUUCUUCUUUAAUUUUUAAUUUUUUAUUUUUUUCAGUCUCUGUAGAGACUGUCAAAAAUUGCCAAAGCUGACUAUAUUUCAAGUCGUCAUGGCGGAGUAUUGGGAAAAGUUUUCAAUUAGUAAUAAUCGUGCCUCAGAAGAACCUCAUUGGCUACGAUACUGCCACUGCGCAAAGCUAAUAUAUAUCUUUUCAAGCUGCUCCAAAUCCUCUUGGACAAUAGGGGAUAGAGGGAGCAUACAUAAAUACCGUUAAGAAGGAGAUAUCCAGGUGCCCCCACUCAGGAAAGAAAAAGAGAAUGUUAGUCUGUACCCUGUCAAAACAGAACUAUGGCAGAAGCCAGUCUCAUUUGUUCACGCCAAGAAAAUGGGAAUUGCUGCACCAAAAAGGAAAACACAAAUUAGCACACACCAAAACAAACAGGGAUGUUUUAAAUGCAGGCACAAAACAGCUUUGCUUUGUUUUUCCACAAGCAACUGGCUGCUUGCCUUGGACCUAUAAGAACUAAAUUAUGGACCUAGAUUUCUAAGUAACCUCCAAGCUUAUUGCAGAUUUUUUUCCAUUAGAAUUUAAGAAGCAGAUUUCCACUGAGACUAAAUUAUAAAACACAGAACCUUUUAAAUCUGUCAGUUGUUGGCUUAUAAUAAUACUGGCCAAAAACAUGAUUCUCCACUAAAAAUGUCAGUGUUGGUUGGGAAGCCAAGCAUCAUCAGCCUUCUAGAAUUUACCCACCAGGAGUAUUGUCGCUUUUCAUUAUAACACCGGUGGAGCUUGUAAAGAGAGGAAGGAAAAAAAGAAAGCUUUCAGCUAGCACCUGGUCAAAAUGAAUCACCUUGUUAAUUUGAUCUUAAUCAGACUUCUAUUUGCUUUUUUUUUUUUUUUUUUUUGACGCAAUUUUUCAGCAUCUUCCAGGAAACAAUCUAAAAAUCCAGAGACCACAUUUUGAGAAAUGUGCUUGAAGGUGCUGAAAGGACAGCAAGUGAUGAAGCCUCUUACAGCACGUGUAUGAAGAUGAUUAUUGUGUAUAUGAAAGUCUCCCCCCAAAAAAACAGCCACCUGAUGGAAGGAAGAACCCUGCCAACAUGGAAUGGGAAAAAAAAAAAACUUUACAACUCUUCAGUGUUCCCUGGAGUGGAGGGAUGUGUACGGUUAAGUUUAAAUCUAGAAAUUGUGAAGAGAACAUUUCAAGAAGUGGAAUAAAACUGGACUUGCUUGGGAUGAUCUCUGGAAUGAAUGACGUGUGGGCUUAUUUAUCAAAAAGGGCUUCGAAGCCAGAUGGAAGACAUUCCUUAGUCUUUCCCUGUACUUAAGUGAGGCAGUGAAUGUACUUAAACCUUGCCUACCUCUUCUGUGAGUUGGUGUGUGAUUUUAAAUUGCUACAGGAUAACGCUGUAAACUUUAUGAGACUGCUGUGAAUAGCUAAUGAGGGCAAGCAGUUGGACUAUAUCAAUCAGCAUUAUUCACUGCACCAAUAAUAAACAUACAAAUUCCAUUAUUAGCCUUAGCAUACAACUGCUUGUUCCAAAACCAUGUACAUUUUAGUGCCUGUUUUUUUUCACCAUGGGUCCACUAGGGACUUCUUUAUUGUUUUGGCAUUAAAGCCUAAAA
This is a long non-coding RNA of Sapajus apella (tufted capuchin), 1850 nucleotides long. RefSeq lists it as uncharacterized. NCBI's taxonomy places the organism in Eukaryota, Metazoa, Chordata, Mammalia, Primates, Cebidae. The record is from RefSeq and is a predicted model, not a curated record. The transcript has 2 exons.